This is an RNA transcript of Cephus cinctus (wheat stem sawfly), 2287 nucleotides long. It is a transcript of the gene named RNA-binding protein 1, with no coding region annotated. The record is from RefSeq and is a predicted model, not a curated record. The transcript is spliced from 9 exons. Lineage: Eukaryota; Metazoa; Arthropoda; Insecta; Hymenoptera; Cephidae.
AAAAGACUCGAGGAUCGCAGUGCGCGCCAUCACCGGCCACCACCAUUUUGUGGCAUUUCUACGUGUGCAGUGUACUGGGACGGACGUGCGUUUAACCAGCUAGAAGAAAAGAGGUUUUCAUCAGGGGUAACACGAUAUCCACUCAACGUAAGCAGACUCCCAAUCCUCGCUAAGUUCCACGCUCGAUGCAUCGCACCGAGAAAUCAUCCAUACGCGAAAAGCCGCUGCGGGAAUUCAAGAAAAUUCGUGGAAGUUUCCAUGGCGUCGGUUCGAUCGGCGGGAUUCUUAGCAACGCCCUUUAUUAUCUGCAUGUUUACGGAACCACAUCGAGACAUCGCAUCACCGAGACACAUCGAAUCACACCCGACUGAAUUCUAUUGUAACGUCCACGCAACCUACGAGGAUCUGCCGUGCAUCCUUUUUAGAUCACCUCGUGAUUUGUUUUUACGACGUGGGACCUGCCUCGCCGCACACAACGGCAUCGCAUCACCACCGCAAAAUGGCGGAACCCUUCCUUUUGCUCUCGAAUGCAAGCAUCACGCACCGCCGCCAUUUUACCCAUAGCGCCAAAGGGGGUGGUAUGGCUUCCUUUAUAUCGAAUUCAACGAACAAAAUGUCACGCUACCGUGAGUGGGAUCUUUCGUGCAAAGUAUACGUCGGUAAUCUGGGCAGUAGUGCCAGUAAGCAUGAAAUUGAGAGUGCAUUCAGCAAAUAUGGUCCCUUGAGAAAUGUAUGGGUUGCCAGAAACCCACCUGGAUUUGCUUUUGUGGAGUUUGAAGACUCGAGGGACGCUGAAGAUGCAGUAAGAGAACUUGAUGGAACACGUUGCUGUGGAACCAGAGUCAGGGUUGAGAUGUCCUCUGGAAGAAGUCGCCGUGGAGGUGGUGGUCGCAGACCAGGCCCAAGAUACUCUAGGUCCAGAUCGCGCAGUCCGCGUAGGAGACCUCUGGGUCGCUACCCCAGGUCCGGAUCAAGGAGUCCGCGAAGGUCGCCGAUUAACCGAUACUCCAGAUUCUACCAGCGUCAGCUCCUAGCUCUGCUCAUCUCCCCGCCACUACUACUACUACUACUACUGCUACUACUACUACUACAGCCACCGUGAAAAAAAAGUCUAGCAAUCAAAACCGAACAAAAAAAAUUGCCUGCCUGCCCACUAACCUCCCAACCAGUCACCAUCAGUCACCACCAGUCACCGGUAGGAGCCAAGUCGUCCGUCAGUUGACAGUCCGUAGCUGUCCGUCAGUCCGUCUGUUCCCCUACAAAAUGACUUCUUCAGGCUACCUUCUUCACCUCUAGCUACUAGGAGCAUCGUGAACCCACCGAACAGAGUCAACGCGAUACGAACGAAUACUUCUGUCAAAAACAAAUCGGCGCGUUCGUCCGUCCGUCAGUCCGUGCGCCCGUCCCAACUUCUACUACUACUGCUACUACUACUACUGCUACUUCUACUACUACCACCUACUACUACUCGUCCACCAUCACGUUUAACUUAGCUGACAAUGCGACCGCCACUUCUCUUCGAUCGAGCAAAGCAAAAUGAUCACGACCUACACACCAUCCCACCACAACCCAACCAACUACCAUCACAACCACCACAUGUUCACAGUUGUCUGAUCACGCUCUCGCAGUCCUCGCAGAAGGUCCCCGUCUCGUAGCCGCAGCCGAAACCGUCGUUCCCGUUCGGACUCGCGCGACAGACGUUAGGUGCUAAGAGUGUUCGAGAAAAUGGACGGACUUAAAGUGCCGGAUGGAAGAAAAAAAAUGAAAGAAAAGCUGUUUUAUUUGUAUAUAAACUGAAUAUCACGUACACGAUUCAAAAAAAACGAAGGACAGAAAUAAUAAAAAGAAAACGAAUCAAUUCAUAUGUGGAUAAAACUGACGCUGUAGCACUGAGUUAAACAUCUUUACACGCAUAACACAGGAAAACACAUCUCACGACAUAAUACGAUAUAUAAACACGUUCCACGUAUACGGAUACAGAAAAAUCUAUUAUUGUAGACACAGAGAAAGCAGUGAAAACUGUUCUAAGCGUAUGAGAAAACUUAUCAAUUGCAUUGACGGAUGCACAUUAUAUUAUAUAAAAUUUAUUUAGGCACAUCGGUAUAAGACAGUUCGAUCGGUCUCGAAGAAGAGGACCGGUCGAUUGGACAAUUAGAUACGUGAUUAAUGUUUGAAGAAGGCAACAACACAAAAAACAAAAGAAGCAAACGCAGUUGUUUUACGUUGUAUUAAUUAUUUUGUACUCUUACGAAUUUAAGAUUUAAAAAUAAACCUGUAACGUAUCGUA